RNAcentral lists this ribosomal RNA (445 nucleotides) under uncultured bacterium. Its description in RNAcentral is "bacterial SSU rRNA". It matches the Rfam family "Bacterial small subunit ribosomal RNA", at positions 330 to 792 of the family's 1533-position model. The record is from RNAcentral.
CCCAGACUCCUACGGGAGGCAGCAGUGGGGAAUAUUGCACAAUGGGGGGAACCCUGAUGCAGCGACGCCGCGUGAGUGAAGAAGUAUUUCGGUAUGUAAAGCUCUCUCAGCAGGGAAGAAAAUGACGGUACCUGACUAAGAAGCCCCGGCUAACUACGUGCCAGCAGCCGCGGUAAUACGUAGGGGGCAAGCGUUAUCCGGAUUUACUGGGUGUAAAGGGAGCGUAGACGGCAGAGCAAGUCUGAAGUGAAAGCCCGUGGCCCAACUGCGGGACUGCUUUGGAAACUGCCCGGCUAGAGUGCUGGAGAGGUAAGCGGAAUUCCUAGUGUAGCGGUGAAAUGCGUAGAUAUUAGGAGGAACACCAGUGGCGAAGGCGGCUUACUGGACAGUAACUGACGUUGAGGCUCGAAAGCGUGGGGAGCAAACAGGAUUAGAUACCCCGGUA